AACGAACGCUGGCGGCAUGCCUAACACAUGCAAGUCGAACGAGACCUUCGGGUCUAGUGGCGCACGGGUGCGUAACGCGUGGGAACCUGCCCUUAGGUUCGGAAUAACUCCCCGAAAGGGGUGCUAAUACCGGAUAAUAUCUUCGGACCAAAGAUUUAUCGCCUUUGGAUGGGCCCGCGUUGGAUUAGCUAGUUGGUAGGGUAAAAGCCUACCAAGGCGACGAUCCAUAGCUGGUCUGAGAGGAUGAUCAGCCACACUGGGACUGAGACACGGCCCGGAAUACUACGGGAGGCAGCAGUGGGGAAUAUUGGACAAUGGGCGAAAGCCUAAUCCAGCAAUGACGCGUGAGUGAUGAAGGCCUUAGGGUUGUAAAGCUAUUUUACCCGGGAUGAUAAUGACAGUACCGGGAGAAUAAGCUCCGGCUAACUCCGUG
This 433-nucleotide ribosomal RNA is filed under the name uncultured bacterium. Its description in RNAcentral is "partial 16S ribosomal RNA". It matches the Rfam family "Bacterial small subunit ribosomal RNA", at positions 29 to 507 of the family's 1533-position model. The record is from RNAcentral.